Molecule: long non-coding RNA, 983 nt
Filed under: Nicotiana benthamiana
Lineage: Eukaryota; Viridiplantae; Streptophyta; Magnoliopsida; Solanales; Solanaceae
Description: long non-coding RNA (NBEN_LNC004861)
Source: RNAcentral
UCGGAAAUCAAUGAUGAUUAAUUAGUUGAUGCUCAUUAUAUGUCUGUAUACAUAUAUGCCAAAUUAUUUAAUUUGUCAUUAUAUUGUUCGGUUUUAUGUUGUGAAGAACAGGAUGGAUGAUAAUGAAGUUGAAGUGGAUGGAAAAGCUAUUGAGAUGUGGAAAAGCAUGUCAAAGGAGGUACUUCAUUUGGAUCUAUUGAUGGUACUAAAUCUUUUAUUUGUGUUUCUUACUCAUAUUACUCUGCUCUUGUUCAGAUGUGAAAUGUGUUUGAAUCACCAGAUAUUGGGUUCUUCACAUUAUAAAUUUUUGUUAUUGAUGUUUAGACAUUUGAACGAUAAUGCAUCAGUACUAUUUAAGUAUUUGGUGGUAAUUAAACGACUACAUUUGUCUGCUCUUAAUUGCCUAACUAUAUGGCAUCUAUUAUUGAAUUUUCUAGCAAUGGACAACUUAAUAUUAUAUAUAUCUUUCUGAUACGCUUUCAUAGGUAACGAUUAAAUCAAUAAGUAUCUAAUAUAAUAAUUCAAUGAAAAUUCUUUUCACUAUAAGUGCAUAUAGAUUCAAUUCUUUUCUGUUUCUCCCUUAAUUUUUGUGAAAUUCUGUUAGCUUAUGCUCCUAGUGGCUGAUAAAUACCACAGCAUAACACUUGUUUUCUGAAUCAGGAAACCAUGUUCCCAUGGAUGCCGAGAAAAAUCUCUUGAGACAAAAAUGGUUCCAUGCUCUCUGGACUGAUACAUGGGAACUUCAUGGUUAUGGAAGGCAAGUCAAGAUGUGGCUAUUGUGAGCAGUAGUUAUUCUACAAGUUACUGAUAGUGUAUAACUAGUAUAUGUGCAUGUUCAUUUGAUGCACGUCAAGAAUCAUAUUGUUGUAUCUUGGAAAUGACAGGGGAUCGUGAAUUCAUUUGAUGGGCAAGAAGAAAUACAUGUACCUAUUUUGGAGAUAAUAGUGGAAUUUUAUGACAUGUUUAAAAUUUAAAAUCUUUAA